UUUAUAUUUUAUAAAAGUUAUUUAAUUAUUUUAUGUUUUAGUAUUUAGUUUGAAUUAAUUUAAAUUUUUAUAGUUUAAUAGUAUUGUGAAAGAAUUAAAUUAAUUUAUUAAAAGAAUAUUUUAGUACCUUUUGUAUCAGGGUUAAUUAAAAUUUUUAAUUAAAUUUUGAAUUCUCAAAAUUUAUAGAGUUAAUUUUAUUAUUAAGUUAUUGUUUUAUAAAUAUUUAUUAAAUAAUUUUAGUUUUGAAAUUUAAUUCGAUAUAUUAUAUUUAGUUAUUUAAGAUUUAAAUUUAAUUUAAAAUUUUAAUAGUUUUAUUAAUUUUUAUUAGUAAUAUUUUAAAUUUAAAUUAUUUUAGGGAUAAGCUUGAAAUUUUUAUAUAAUUUUUUUUUUAUUAAUAAUUUAUAGGAAUAGAAAUUUUUAUUUAAGUUUGUAAAAAUUUAUUAUUUAAAUUAAAUUUGAUUUAUUAAAAUUUAUUUAUUGGGGGGUAUUAAAUUUUAUAAAAUAAUAAUUUAUUUAUAGUAAUAAUGAUUAAAUUAGUAUAAUAUUUAUUUAUAAAUUAUGAAUUCGGCAAAUAUUAUUUUCAUCUGUUUAUCAAAAACAUAGUAUUAAGUUUUAUUUAAUAUAGUAUCUGCUCAAUGAUUAAAUUUAAAUAGCUGCAGUAUUUUGACUGUGCAAAGGUAGCAUAAUAAUUAGUCUUUUAAUUGAGGACUUGAAUGAAAGAUUUGAUGAGAAAUUAACUUUAUUAUUUAUAUAUUUAGAAUUUUAUUUUUAAGUAAAAAAGCUUAAAUAAUUUAAAGGGCCGAUAAGACCCUAUAAAACUUUAUAAUUAUUAAUUUUUAAUUUUUUUUUGGUUAAUAAAAUAUUUUAAUAUUUAUAACUAUUUCAUUGGGGUGAUGGAAAAAUUUAAAUAACUUUUUUUUAAUAAAAACAUUAUUUAGUGAAUAUUUUGAAUUAAAAUUUUUAAUUAUAGGAUAAAGUUACUUUAGGGAUAACAGCGUAAUUGAUUUUUGAAGUUCAAAUUUGAAAAUUAGUUUGCGACCUCGAUGUUGAAUUAAGAUAAAUCUUGGGUGCAAAAUUUUAAGUUUUAGGUCUGUUCGACCUUUAGAUUCUUACAUGAUUUGAGUUC
Molecule: ribosomal RNA, 1126 nt
Filed under: Anoecia fulviabdominalis
Lineage: Eukaryota; Metazoa; Arthropoda; Insecta; Hemiptera; Anoeciidae
Description: partial 16S large subunit ribosomal RNA
Source: RNAcentral